GCAUAUCAAUAAGCGGAGGAAAAGAAACCAACAGGGAUUGCCCUAGUAACGGCGAGUGAAGCGGCAACAGCUCAAAUUUGAAAUCUGGCUUCGGCCCGAGUUGUAAUUUGUAGAGGAAGCUUUUGGUGAGGCACCUUCUGAGUCCCCUGGAACGGGGCGCCAUAGAGGGUGAGAGCCCCGUAUAGUCGGAUGCCGAUCCAAUGUAAAGCUCCUUCGACGAGUCGAGUAGUUUGGGAAUGCUGCUCAAAAUGGGAGGUAAAUUUCUUCUAAAGCUAAAUACCGGCCAGAGACCGAUAGCGCACAAGUAGAGUGAUCGAAAGAUGAAAAGCACUUUGAAAAGAGGGUUAAAUAGCACGUGAAAUUGUUGAAAGGGAAGCGUUUGUGACCAGACUUGCGCCGUUCCGAUCAUCCGGUGUUCUCACCGGUGCACUCGGGGCGGCUCAGGCCAGCAUCGGUUUUGGUGGGGGGAUAAAGGUUCGGGGAACGUAGCUCCUCCGGGAGUGUUAUAGCCCCGGGCGUAAUGCCCUCGCCGGGACCGAGGUUCGCGCAUCUGCAAGGAUG
Molecule: ribosomal RNA, 561 nt
Filed under: Boothiella tetraspora
Lineage: Eukaryota; Fungi; Ascomycota; Sordariomycetes; Sordariales; Sordariaceae
Description: partial 28S ribosomal RNA
Rfam family: Eukaryotic large subunit ribosomal RNA
Source: RNAcentral